Molecule: unclassified non-coding RNA, 519 nt
Filed under: Hevea brasiliensis (rubber tree)
Lineage: Eukaryota; Viridiplantae; Streptophyta; Magnoliopsida; Malpighiales; Euphorbiaceae
Source: RNAcentral
AAACUGGAUAUAUUCUCAAGGAAGAUGAAAGUAAUCUGGAGGCAUUAUUGCUCCGUGGCCGUGCCUACUACUAUUUAGCGGAUCAUGAUGUUGCUUCAAAGCAUUUCCAAAAAGGUCUUCGUCUCGAUCCUGAACAUGGUGAGCUGAAGAAAGCGUAUUUUGCAUUGAAAAAUUUACUCAAGAAGACUAAAAGCGCAGAAGAUAAUGCAAAUAAGGGCAAGCUGCGAGUUGCAGUAGAGGACUAUAAAGCAGCUCUUGCAUUGGACCCUGAUCAUCUUUCAUAUAAUAUUCAUCUUCAUCUAGGCUUGUGUAAGGUAUUGGUCAAGCUUGGCAGGGGCAAAGAUGCAUUGAAUAGCUUCACCUCUACUUGAAGCUUUAGUGCAGAGGGGUGAAGCUAAACUCUUAAUAGAGGACUGGGAAGGAGCUGUUCAAGAUCUCAAAUCAGCAGCUGAGAAAUCACCUCAGGACGUGAAUAUACGGGAAACAUUAAUGCGAGCAGAGAAAGCCUUAAAGAUGAGC